Long non-coding RNA from Oncorhynchus tshawytscha (Chinook salmon), 1050 nucleotides. NCBI's taxonomy places the organism in Eukaryota, Metazoa, Chordata, Actinopteri, Salmoniformes, Salmonidae. The record is from Ensembl.
CAUCAUUAGACCCAUGACAUGAAAUGUGGCCAUUUGUUACAUCAUUUGCUAAGCAUUAACAGCACUAGUCCAAUAAUUAUAUGUCUGAACUUUAAUUCAAAUAGAUUAUAAUUGCUCUUUUUUUCUUAACUUUGAGGGUGGUGAUGCCUGUUUGAAACAGUACAGAAUGUUUCUGUUUUUCAUCGAAAGUAAUAGUAGGCUUAUUGCUUCAUAAAAAUGUUUUAUUUAACUUAGUGUUUUUCAUUACAAAAAUAACAAAUGUGCUUGAAAAGCCAAACAAGCAUCCAAUUAAAUGACAUAAUAGUAGUUUAUACAUACAUCGACAGUUUGGGGUCACUGAUGAGGGAUUCCAGUCACACUCCACACUGCAACAUUACAGCAUUACAUGUCAAUAAAUUGAGAGUAAACAGUGACAGUCCCAUCAGGCCAUUUGAGUUGUUGGAGGUUUGUUUAAUAGUCAUACUCAAACCAAGCAAGGAUCAGACUCCGAACAGCACUUUUUCAAAGUUUGUCUCUUUUGCGUAGCCUACUGUGUUCUCUUGUAUAAACCGUGACCUAUUUGAAAGAUCGCAUUGUGAGAUAAAUCAGUUAGACAGUUUUGAUAGUAGCCUACAAUACAUGACUGUGCACUGCAUUGCAACAAGUAUUCUUGGAAGCACAGGAUGUAUUCAUUACACCAAUUAUGUUUCAAAACAUUUAGUCUGCUACAAAACAUUUUUACCACAGAAACCAGUUACUCCAAACAGAAAACGUUUUGCAACGAAAAUUAGUGUUUCUAUUGGACAAAUCUAGUAGCUACUCCAGCAAAGAUAAUACCCAUAAAACCUAGUGGUCAAACAGGUAAAAUGGGUCCAAUUGCUUUUCCACCAUACAUUUUUCCUGUCAGGGAUUUUAGAAACACAAUAAGGGCUGUGUUUCAUGUAGGCUUACCGUGGUGUGGCAUUUUGAUAAUCAUGUAAAUCUCUCUAGGACAAGGUGACUUAUCAAUAUAUUCGCCUGUAUUUACCCCCCAAAAAUGAAACACUAGUUAGCUGCUAAUGUAGCUAUCAU